GUGAGUGGCGGACGGGUGAGUAACACGUGGGUAACCUGCCCUAAAGUGGGGGAUAACAUUUGGAAACAGAUGCUAAUACCGCAUAAAACCUAGCACCGCAUGGUGCAAGGUUGAAAGAUGGUUUCGGCUAUCACUUUAGGAUGGACCCGCGGUGCAUUAGUUAGUUGGUGAGGUAAAGGCUCACCAAGACCGUGAUGCAUAGCCGACCUGAGAGGGUAAUCGGCCACACUGGGACUGAGACACGGCCCCGACUCCUACGGGAGGCAGCAGUAGGGAAUCUUCCCCAAUGGACGAAAGUCUGAUGGAGCAACGCCGCGUGAGUGAAGAAGGUUUUCGGAUCGUAAAACUCUGUUGUUGGAGAAGAACGUAUUUGAUAGUAACUGAUCAGGUAGUGACGGUAUCCAACCAGAAAGCCACGGCUAACUACGUGCCAGCAGCCGCGGUAAUACGUAGGUGGCAAGCGUUGUCCGGAUUUAUUGGGCGUAAAGCGAGCGCAGGCGGUUUCUUAAGUCUGAUGUGAAAGCCUUCGGCUCAACCGAAGAAGUGCAUCGGAAACUGGGAAACUUGAGUGCAGAAGAGGACAGUGGAACUCCAUGUGUAGCGGUGAAAUGCGUAGAUAUAUGGAAGAACACCAGUGGCGAAGGCGGCUGUCUGGUCUGUAACUGACGCUGAGGCUCGAAAGCAUGGGUAGCAAACAGGAUUAGAUACCCUGGUAGUCCAUGCCGUAAACGAUGAGUGCUAGGUGUUGGAGGGUUUCCGCCCUUCAGUGCCGCAGCUAACGCAUUAAGCACUCCGCCUGGGGAGUACGACCGCAAGGUUGAAACUCAAAGGAAUUGACGGGGGCCCGCACAAGCGGUGGAGCAUGUGGUUUAAUUCGAAGCAACGCGAAGAACCUUACCAGGUCUUGACAUCCUUUGACCACUCUAGAGAUAGAGCUUUCCCUUCGGGGACAAAGUGACAGGUGGUGCAUGGUUGUCGUCAGCUCGUGUCGUGAGAUGUUGGGUUAAGUCCCGCAACGAGCGCAACCCUUAUUACUAGUUGCCAGCAUUUAGUUGGGCACUCUAGUGAGACUGCCGGUGACAAACCGGAGGAAGGUGGGGACGACGUCAAAUCAUCAUGCCCCUUAUGACCUGGGCUACACACGUGCUACAAUGGAUGGUACAACGAGUCGCGAGACCGCGAGGUUUAGCUAAUCUCUUAAAACCAUUCUCAGUUCGGAUUGUAGGCUGCAACUCGCCUACAUGAAGCCGGAAUCGCUAGUAAUCGCGGAUCAGCAUGCCGCGGUGAAUACGUUCCCGGGCCUUGUACACACCGCCCGUCACACCAU
RNAcentral lists this ribosomal RNA (1327 nucleotides) under Latilactobacillus curvatus. RNAcentral's name for it is "bacterial SSU rRNA". It matches the Rfam family "Bacterial small subunit ribosomal RNA", at positions 91 to 1405 of the family's 1533-position model. Lineage: Bacteria; Bacillati; Bacillota; Bacilli; Lactobacillales; Lactobacillaceae. The record is from RNAcentral.